AUAUUUGAAAUAAUAAAAGAAGCCAAGUAUAUGGUAAUGCUUGGCUUACAAGUGCCAAAAAAUCUGAUAAAUCUAAUUUUUGCUUAUAGUGAUAUCAUUACAGUGUAUCGCAAAUUGCAGAUGGUCCUCAUAGAACAUAAACAGUUGAUUGAAACAAUACCUGAUGCAUUCUUACCUCUAACACAACCUUCGUUAUUUAAGAUUGAAAGCCUGAUCUUUCCUGGUUCUACAACAAUUACCUGGACAUCUCUUGAGGUUCAUGAGUAC
Molecule: long non-coding RNA, 267 nt
Organism: Physella acuta
Lineage: Eukaryota; Metazoa; Mollusca; Gastropoda; Physidae
Source: RefSeq, a predicted model, not a curated record